CUCCUUUGAUCAGCUGUCAGUCAUUAUAUCACAGCUGAGUCUCCCUGCAAACUGGCCAACUGCAGCUCCCACCCCGGCAAACCAGGAAGGACUUUUCUGGUCUGGUGUAAAGAUUUCCCUCCAAACAGUCACCAGGAAUACAGAAACCUGGAGACUAGACGACUGGCGGGCAGAGGUGAACUACCGUUUAUCUCGAGCUUACUUCCUGAUCACCUGAACUUUUCUAAACAGUCAAACUCAAGAACCAGGAAGAGCGGGAGAUGCAGGAAUGUGACCCAACCUGAUUGCAGUAUCUGCCAAUUCCUCCAGCCAAGAGGAGGGGGUUACAGGGAAAGUCAAGAAACAAAUACUAGCUACAGCUGAUUGGUGAUUCCACAUUCUUCAACAACAGACAUUGCAGAGAACUCAGGUGUCUGACCACACACAGGAGCAACAAUUCACACCUCUCCAGAUGUUUUUCCCGGGUACAAUAAAAUGUUCCCGUUGAGCUGCUGCUUACACCCCGGUGUGCUGAGAUGCCGUCACUCCAGCAGUCUUAGGAUUUAUCUUUAGAAGAUUUGAGAAAGACAACAUUCAUUAUAAUAACACGAUAAUCAUAAUUCCAUAAGUAUUUAUUUAUGUUUUAUUCCAUAGCUGUACCUCCAUCGGAUAGGGAAGGUGUGAUUCGUCUGUUCGUUCCUCGGAAUUGGGGCAAAAUCGAAUGUCCUCCGUCUAUAUUCUCUAGAAUUCUUGUGCCCUAAAUGCAGAAAAUAUCACAUUAUUGCCACUAGAUGGCAUUGAGGAGCAUACCUAUGAUAGUCAGCGCCAUCUAGUGUCCAUAAUGCAGUAUUUUCCUCCUUCAUAACUGAAUUGCAGAGAACAUAAAAUGUUACCCCAUCCACACAAAACAAAUUUACAUACAGUAUAUAGAUU
Rana temporaria (common frog) is the source of this 912-nucleotide long non-coding RNA. RefSeq lists it as uncharacterized. The record is from RefSeq and is a predicted model, not a curated record. The transcript has 5 exons. NCBI's taxonomy places the organism in Eukaryota, Metazoa, Chordata, Amphibia, Anura, Ranidae.